GGAGUAACCGUAACUGCUUAUAACAGUUGUGUGUUAACUGCAGAUAAAUCUUCAGUUCAAUCUGUAAUUGUCAUAAUGAGGACGUGGGCAUUGUUUUUAUAGGCGUUCAGCUGACAUUGUCAAAUGCGACGACUACAGGAGCUGUGGCGUGUUCUGACUUCUCUUUAUGAACGUUACUUAAAGGUGAUCUGCUCCUCCUGGUAGGUGGAGGUGGAGAUGGCGCCGUACGGAUCCACUACCGUCUGGGCACAGCGCACCACCGUCACCAGCAGGAAGAAACACAGGAGGAAGAGGAAGAAGAGAGCAAAGCCCAGGUCCACAUCCACCUCAAACUGCCUCGCAGGGUGAGAAGCCUGGUCCAUGUGGGCGAUGACGACUUCUGAUCCGUCUGAUUCCUCUCCUUGUCAGCACCACUUUAGGAAUGGGACAGCUGUGUGUACAUGUGCUGUUGAGAUAAUGGUGAUGACUUGAUGCCAGAAAUACUAAAUAAAUCAGAAAGGCAGACAAAGGGUAAAGAGGUUACAUCACAA
Molecule: long non-coding RNA, 530 nt
Organism: Micropterus dolomieu (smallmouth bass)
Lineage: Eukaryota; Metazoa; Chordata; Actinopteri; Centrarchiformes; Centrarchidae
Exons: 2
Source: RefSeq, a predicted model, not a curated record